This 497-nucleotide ribosomal RNA is filed under the name uncultured bacterium. RNAcentral describes it as "partial 16S ribosomal RNA". It matches the Rfam family "Bacterial small subunit ribosomal RNA", at positions 28 to 507 of the family's 1533-position model. The record is from RNAcentral.
GAUGAACGCUGGCGGCGUGCCUAAUACAUGCAAGUCGAGCGAACAGACGAGGAGCUUGCUUCUCUGACGUUAGCGGCGGACGGGUGAGUAACACGUGGAUAACCUACCUAUAAGACUGGGAUAACUUCGGGAAACCGGAGCUAAUACCGGAUAAUAUAUUGAACCGCAUGGUUCAAUAGUGAAAGACGGUUUUGCUGUCACUUAUAGAUGGAUCCGCGCCGCAUUAGCUAGUUGGUAAGGUAACGGCUUACCAAGGCAACGAUGCGUAGCCGACCUGAGAGGGUGAUCGGCCACACUUGAACUGAGACACGGUCCAGACUCCUACGGGAGGCAGCAGUAGGGAAUCUUCCGCAAUGGGCGAAAGCUUGACGGAGCAACGCCGCGUGAGUGAUGAAGGUCUUCGGAUCGUAAAACUCUGUUAUUAGGGAAGAACAAAUGUGUAAGUAACUAUGCACGUCUUGACGGUACCUAAUCAGAAAGCCACGGCUAACUACGUG